Molecule: long non-coding RNA, 921 nt
Organism: Quercus lobata
Lineage: Eukaryota; Viridiplantae; Streptophyta; Magnoliopsida; Fagales; Fagaceae
Exons: 5
Source: RefSeq, a predicted model, not a curated record
AGUAGUUAUUUUGGACUUUGGUUAUCUCUUGGUUUUUGACUUUUGCAAAUGCAAAUGUGCACAACUUUACAUUUUUUUUUCCUCCAAAUCUGCAUGCACCCUGCACUCCUAGGUACAGAUUUUACUUAUUUUUGGUGAUUGGAUUUAAUUGUAUCGGUUUGUUCAAUUUAAGUUUAUUGGAUUUUUGCAUGUGUUAUUUUUUGCUUCACUUUGUGAUUGUGUCAGUUACUUUAGCUUCAUUGUCUUAUUUCAACAUAUCGAAAUUAUGCGUGUUUGCUUUUUGUUUCAAUUUCUAUUUAUUUUUUAAUUUUUAACUUUUCAUUUUGAGUUUUAUGUUGUAGUCAAUGUCCUAUUUGGAAUGACAGCAUAUGGGCAUCUUAUUACUCAUAUCUGUCCUGAACAAUCAAGCAUCCAACCUACAACAAUCCAAGACUUCAUCAUCCUCUCUCUUUUCCACUAAUUGAUUACACAGUAUGAGAUUGGGAGAUGGAGGCUGUGUAGUAGAUGACAAAAGCGAAAUAAGUUGUGGUUUUCGUAUUCUUUUCUGUCUGCAAAUUUCUAAUUUGAUUUUUGAUUCAUCCCUACAAAAAUUCAGGCCUGAAUACGUCCAUCACAGCUGCUCAAGGCCAUUGGGUCAUGGAAACUUCAGAUGAUGGUAACUCAAGGAAGAAGUGAUAUAUACUCGAUCAGUCUGGAGUAUUAUGUGAAGCAUAUCAAGUUUUAAGUGAUCCACUGCAAAGAGAUUCUUAUCAUUGAGAUGGAAAAAAUUACAUAUCUAUGUACGUUUUUAUGCUUGCACUUGUGGAAAUAUUGUGAGUUGUCACAUGCUCAUAUUACUGCCCCUUUGUGUUUCAUAUUACUAUUAUAUUGAAGAAUAAUUAGGAUUCUACAAUCAGAACAAUAUUUGAAUUUCAAUUCCAU